This 503-nucleotide ribosomal RNA is filed under the name uncultured bacterium. RNAcentral describes it as "partial 16S ribosomal RNA". It matches the Rfam family "Bacterial small subunit ribosomal RNA", at positions 30 to 523 of the family's 1533-position model. The record is from RNAcentral.
AUUGAACGCUGGCGGCAGGCUUAACACAUGCAAGUCGAGCGGGGUGAUGGUGCUUGCACUAUCACUUAGCGGCGGACGGGUGAGUAAGGCUUAGGAAUCUGCCUAUUAGUGGGGGACAACAUCUCGAAAGGGAUGCUAAUACCGCAUACGUCCUACGGGAGAAAGCAGGGGAUCACUUGUGACCUUGCGCUAAUAGAUGAGCCUAAGUCGGAUUAGCUAGUUGGUGGGGUAAAGGCCUACCAAGGCGACGAUCUGGAGCGGGUCUGAGAGGAUGAUCCGCCACACUGGGACUGAGACACGGCCCAGACUCCUACGGGAGGCAGCAGUGGGGAAUAUUGGAUAAUGGGGGGAACCCUGAUCCAGCCAUGCCGCGUGUGUGAAGAAGGCCUUAUGGUUGUAAAGCACUUUAAGCGAGGAGGAGGCUCUUUUGGUUAAUACCCAAGAUGAGUGGACGUUACUCGCAGAAUAAGCACCGGCUAACUCUGUGCCAGCAGCCGCGGUAA